UGCUCAUCCAGAGGGACUGAGGGAACGGCCCUGAGAAGUCCCGGCAACCGCCGCGAACUCCCGUCAGCGCCUGCAUCACGCAGGAGCCGGCGUCGCGGAAACGGUGCCAAAUCCGACCCGUGCGAGAGCCGCCGGGACAGAUGAGAA
Molecule: non-coding RNA, 147 nt
Filed under: Pimelobacter simplex
Lineage: Bacteria; Bacillati; Actinomycetota; Actinomycetes; Propionibacteriales; Nocardioidaceae
Description: SAM-I sequence
Rfam family: SAM riboswitch aptamer (S box leader)
About the family: The SAM riboswitch is found upstream of a number of genes which code for proteins involved in methionine or cysteine biosynthesis in Gram-positive bacteria. The SAM riboswitch acts at the level of transcription termination control.
Source: Rfam by way of RNAcentral